CUCAACUUGAGAGUUUGAUCCUGGCUCAGAACGAACGCUGGCGGCAGGCUUAACACAUGCAAGUCGAGCGCCCCGCAAGGGGAGCGGCAGACGGGUGAGUAACGCGUGGGAAUCUACCCUUUUCUACGGAAUAACGCAGGGAAACUUGUGCUAAUACCGUAUACGCCCUUCGGGGGAAAGAUUUAUCGGGAAAGGAUGAG
RNAcentral lists this ribosomal RNA (200 nucleotides) under Ensifer sp. OV372. Its description in RNAcentral is "16S rRNA. Bacterial SSU". It matches the Rfam family "Bacterial small subunit ribosomal RNA", at positions 1 to 229 of the family's 1533-position model. The record is from RNAcentral. Lineage: Bacteria; Pseudomonadati; Pseudomonadota; Alphaproteobacteria; Hyphomicrobiales; Rhizobiaceae.